Long non-coding RNA from Brassica oleracea var. oleracea, 887 nucleotides. RefSeq lists it as uncharacterized. The transcript is spliced from 3 exons. The record is from RefSeq and is a predicted model, not a curated record. NCBI's taxonomy places the organism in Eukaryota, Viridiplantae, Streptophyta, Magnoliopsida, Brassicales, Brassicaceae.
AUUUCGCUAAGCGGAAUCAAAAUUUUGGUUUUGGAACCAUAUUUUUCUUUUAGAGGGAACUAAAAUUUCGUUUGGAACCGACACUUAGAAAAAAUUAGGCAAACUAUUUUCCAGAUUCCUUUCUCUAUUGUUCAGAAAAAAUCCCCAAACAAUCCGAUAUCUUUCUAUCGUCUCUGGCUUUCUCGGCCAAACCUUAAAACUCUAUCUCUAGGUUUUUUUUCUUCUUUCCUCUUCUUCUUCGUUUUCGAUUUUAACUUCUGGUGUUGGAAAGUGACAACGAUUCUCUAGCUUCUUCUUCUUCUCUUUGUUUGCGAUUUAUUUGUUUAGCAGCUGCGUUGGUUCUGAGAUUUCCGGUGGAAUCUUGGAUGGCAUUGGAACAGCAAUUGAAGAAAGAAGAAGAAGAACAGUACUCGAGGAGGAAUAACAGAUAAACGGCAAUCUCUUCCAGUUCUCUGUGUGAAGGCAAGCUGUUGCGACUCUGUGCUGUACCACAGGACGUGCUCGUGGCUUCAGUUUCGUCGUCUUUACUGAUCCUUGUGUUGCAGAAAGAGUCACCAUGGAGAAACACACCAUCGAUGGCCGCACGGUUGAGGCAAAGAAGGCUGUGCCUCGAGAUGAUUUGGUUUGGAUCAGGUUAUUUGACUUUCAGUAACUAACAAGUUUCGAAUUGUUACAGUUUCCCUAGGAAAGCCGUUGGAGUUUCAAUCGGUGGCUCUGCUGCUCUGAAAGCUUGAUUCUUUCUAUUCUGUAUUAUUGAAAACAUGCCAUGUUCUAAGUUUCUGCUUUAUAGAAAUCAUAGAACUUGAAAAGGGUAAUCAUUAUAGUAGUGAAGAAUCCUUUGAUAUGGUGAUACUUAUAUUAGUAAUCCACGAGUUUUGUUCAGUAGA